RNAcentral lists this ribosomal RNA (768 nucleotides) under bacterium. RNAcentral's name for it is "bacterial SSU rRNA". It matches the Rfam family "Bacterial small subunit ribosomal RNA", at positions 91 to 869 of the family's 1533-position model. The record is from RNAcentral.
UCGAGUGGCGGAACGGGUGAGUAACACGUGGGUGNUCUGCCCUGCACUUCGGGAUAAGCCCUGGGAAACCGGGUCUAAUACCGGAUAGGACCGCACGUCUCAUGGGGUGUGGUGGAAAGCUUUUGCGGUGUGGGAUGGGCCCGCGGCCUAUCAGCUUGUUGGUGGGGUAAUGGCCUACCAAGGCGUCGACGGGUAGCCGGCCUGAGAGGGUGUCCGGCCACACUGGGACUGAGAUACGGCCCAGACUCCUACGGGAGGCAGCAGUGGGGAAUAUUGCACAAUGGGCGCAAGCCUGAUGCAGCGACGCCGCGUGGGGGAUGACGGCCUUCGGGUUGUAAACCUCUUUCAGCACAGACGAAGCGCAAGUGACGGUAUGUGCAGAAGAAGCACCGGCCAACUACGUGCCAGCAGCCGCGGUAAUACGUAGGGUGCGAGCGUUGUCCGGAAUUACUGGGCGUAAAGAGCUUGUAGGUGGUUUGUCGCGUUGUUCGUGAAAUCUCACGGCUUAACUGUGAGCGUGCGGGCGAUACGGGCAGACUAGAGUACUGCAGGGGAGACUGGAAUUCCUGGUGUAGCGGUGGAAUGCGCAGAUAUCAGGAGGAACACCGGUGGCGAAGGCGGGUCUCUGGGCAGUAACUGACGCUGAGAAGCGAAAGCGUGGGGAGCGAACAGGAUUAGAUACCCUGGUAGUCCACGCCGUAAACNGNNGGUANUAGGUGUGGGUUUCCUUCCUUGGGAUCCGUGCCGUAGCUAACGCAUUAAGUACCC